AAUAUUUAUUAUAAAACAGGUGUCGGUAGUAAUCAAAUGGAUUACAAGCCGGUGAAAAGGGAAGUUGGGUGAAAGUCCCACGCGGUCCCGCCGCUGUAAGAGAAGAGUUCCUCUAAGAAUGCCACCAUAAUUGGGAAGGCAGGAGAGAACGUUGACGCUUGAGCCAGAAGACCUGCCUGCUUUAAUAACUCAAA
Molecule: non-coding RNA, 194 nt
Filed under: Acetobacterium woodii
Lineage: Bacteria; Bacillati; Bacillota; Clostridia; Eubacteriales; Eubacteriaceae
Also listed under: 1 other name
Source: RNAcentral